UACAGAGGGAUGCUACCGGGCGACCGGAUGCGGAUCUCGAAAGCCUGUCCCAGUUCGGACUGGAGUCUGCAACCCGACUCCACGAAGUUGGAUUCGCUAGUAAUCGCGCAUCAGCCAUGGCGCGGUGAAUACGUUCCCGGGCCUUGUACACACCGCCCGUCAAGCCAUGGGAGCCGGGGGCGCCUGAAGUCCGGGACCGCGAGGACCGGCCUAGGGCGAAACCGGUAACUGGGGCUAAGUCGUAACAAGGUACC
RNAcentral lists this ribosomal RNA (254 nucleotides) under uncultured bacterium. RNAcentral describes it as "partial 16S ribosomal RNA". It matches the Rfam family "Bacterial small subunit ribosomal RNA", at positions 1238 to 1500 of the family's 1533-position model. The record is from RNAcentral.